Molecule: microRNA precursor, 59 nt
Organism: Bos indicus x Bos taurus (hybrid cattle)
Lineage: Eukaryota; Metazoa; Chordata; Mammalia; Artiodactyla; Bovidae
Source: Ensembl
UUGGGAGACCAGGGGAAGACUCCACUAACUAGCCUUCUCCCAUGUGUCUCCUCCGCCCA